UAGGGAAUAUUGGACAAUGGGGGCAACCCUGAUCCAGCCAUGCCGCGUGAGUGAAGAAGGCCCUCGGGUUGUAAAGCUCUUUUGUCCGGAAAGAAAAGCAUUCGGUGAAUACCCGGAUGUUCUGACGGUACCGGAAGAAUAAGCACCGGCUAACUUCGUGCCAGCAGCCGCGGUAAUACGAAGGGUGCAAGCGUUACUCGGAAUUACUGGGCGUAAAGCGUGCGUAGGUGGUUGUUUAAGUCUGAUGUGAAAGCCCUGGGCUCAACCAGGGAAUGGCAUUGGAAACUGGGCAGCUAGAGUGCGGUAGAGGGUAGUGGAAUUCCCGGUGUAGCAGUGAAAUGCGUAGAGAUCGGGAGGAACAUCUGUGGCGAAGGCGACUGCCUGGACCAGCACUGACACUGAGGCACGAAAGCGUGGGGAGCAAACA
This 427-nucleotide ribosomal RNA is filed under the name uncultured bacterium. RNAcentral's name for it is "bacterial SSU rRNA". It matches the Rfam family "Bacterial small subunit ribosomal RNA", at positions 355 to 774 of the family's 1533-position model. The record is from RNAcentral.